GGGGGGGGGUUCUUUUGAACGAGUUACCCCUCACCUUUCCAAAAAAAGGCACAAUAUGCACUUUCAAGAUUGCAUCCUAAUGUUUCCAUUCGCCCCUGAACAACUACUUUAAAACAAAUCUGCAAGUUAUGGAACUGUAUUUCAUCUAAGUCAUUGUGAAAACUAAUUUUAUUCCCGAAAGGCUCGACUGCUCCCCCAACUUGAAUUGCAAAGGUUCGGGUUUGCAUCGAUAAACCAAUCUUAAUACCCCCCUUUCAAUGCUUUAUUGCACUCAUCCUCCGAUUCGUGUUCUUUAUUUAAUAAAAGGGAGUCGAAAUCAAGCUUUCUACGUCCGCCUUGCUACCGGCGAGGCUCCCCAAAACUCCCAUCCCGGUCUCAACUCCUCGCACCACCCAGGAAUUUAAAGCCCUCCGCUUCGCCUUCGAGCGAGUUCUGCCAACAUCCCCUUUGCUCCGCGCUGAACAUCCACACGCAGCCCCUCCCUUGAUCAAGGAGAUCCGGAGAGGAGCACGCACAUUAUCCGAUCCGUUCCUGCCGCCGUUAGAAAUAAAGGUGGGAUAAAAGUGGUCCAGAUUCCGAAAGGAGGACGCAAGGAUCGCGAACCAGCAACCCCCAGCGCGCAACGUUGGGAGAAAGACCCCCUGGCACAAAAGCGACCUCUCUUUCUCUCUUCCCACCCCCCGUCCCCUCCCCCGCAGAUCCGAUUCCCUCGUCGAUUUCUUUUGCCCAUCAAUUAAAGUUAGCGACUGACCCGCCAGGUCCGGCGGUGUCGCCCUUACCAUUUGCUGCGCGCGGGGCUCGCUGCUCGUCCGAAUGGAUGUGCUGGGGCUUCGCCUGCUUGCGCCUCGACAUGGUGCACCCGCAUCGGGAGCAAAAUAGUAGCAAUUAUUUUCUUCUUCUUCUUCUUCUUCACAACAAAUUCCUAGAGUUGGGAAA
Molecule: long non-coding RNA, 936 nt
Organism: Podarcis raffonei (Aeolian wall lizard)
Lineage: Eukaryota; Metazoa; Chordata; Lepidosauria; Squamata; Lacertidae
Exons: 2
Source: RefSeq, a predicted model, not a curated record